UACGUAGGGUGCAAGCGUUGUCCGGAAUUAUUGGGCGUAAAGAGCUCGUAGGCGGUUUGUCGCGUCUGCUGUGAAAACUCGGGGCUUAACCCCGGGCCUGCAGUGGGUACGGGCAGACUAGAGUGCGGUAGGGGAGACUGGAAUUCCUGGUGUAGCGGUGAAAUGCGUAGAUAUCGGAAGGAACACCAGUGGCGAAGGCGGCUCACUGGCCCGAUACUGACGCUGAGGCACGAAAGCGUGGGGAGCAAACAGG
Molecule: ribosomal RNA, 253 nt
Filed under: uncultured bacterium
Lineage: Bacteria
Description: partial 16S ribosomal RNA
Rfam family: Bacterial small subunit ribosomal RNA
Source: RNAcentral